This 496-nucleotide ribosomal RNA is filed under the name uncultured bacterium. RNAcentral's name for it is "partial 16S ribosomal RNA". It matches the Rfam family "Bacterial small subunit ribosomal RNA", at positions 28 to 506 of the family's 1533-position model. The record is from RNAcentral.
GAUGAACGCUGGCGGCGUGCCUAAUACAUGCAAGUCGAGCGAACAGACGAGGAGCUUGCUCCUCUGACGUUAGCGGCGGACGGGUGAGUAACACGUGGAUAACCUACCUAUAAGACUGGGAUAACUUCGGGAAACCGGAGCUAAUACCGGAUAAUAUAUUGAACCGCAUGGUUCAAUAGUGAAAGACGGUUUUGCUGUCACUUAUAGAUGGAUCCGCGCCGCAUUAGCUAGUUGGUAAGGUAACGGCUUACCAAGGCAACGAUGCGUAGCCGACCUGAGAGGGGGAUCGGCCACACUGGAACUGAGACACGGUCCAGACUCCUACGGGAGGCAGAAGUAGGGAAUCUUCCGCAAUGGGCGAAAGCCUGACGGAGCAACGCCGCGUGAGUGAUGAAGGUCUUCGGAUCGUAAAACUCUGUUAUUAGGGAAGAACAAAUGUGAAAGUAACUAUGCACGUCUUGACGGUACCUAAUCAGAAAGCCACGGCUAACUACGU